AGGCUAUAUCGACUAGGAACCUGUUUACCGGUGCCUGGAAGAUGAAUUUUAAAAGAUAAACUGCACUCGGAGAAAGUUGUAUGGAGGGGUUUUCGGACACGGGUUCAAUUCCCGUCGCCUCCACCA
RNAcentral lists this transfer-messenger RNA (126 nucleotides) under Akkermansia muciniphila. RNAcentral's name for it is "partial transfer-messenger RNA". It matches the Rfam family "transfer-messenger RNA", at positions 236 to 374 of the family's 374-position model. From Rfam's summary of the family: Bacterial tmRNA, also known as 10Sa RNA or SsrA, is named for its dual tRNA and mRNA-like properties. The record is from RNAcentral. Lineage: Bacteria; Pseudomonadati; Verrucomicrobiota; Verrucomicrobiia; Verrucomicrobiales; Akkermansiaceae.